GGCUCGAUAACUUAGAAGUUAGAGCUCUGGUCUUGUAAACCAGGGGUCGCGAGUUCAAUUGUAGCUGGGGCCU
RNAcentral lists this transfer RNA (73 nucleotides) under Astyanax mexicanus (Mexican tetra). It matches the Rfam family "tRNA". Rfam says of the family: Transfer RNA (tRNA) molecules are approximately 80 nucleotides in length. Their secondary structure includes four short double-helical elements and three loops (D, anti-codon, and T loops). The record is from Rfam by way of RNAcentral. Lineage: Eukaryota; Metazoa; Chordata; Actinopteri; Characiformes; Acestrorhamphidae.